UACGUAGGGUGCGAGCGUUGUCCGGAAUUAUUGGGCGUAAAGAGCUUGUAGGCGGUCUGUCGCGUCUGCUGUGAAAAUCCGGGGCUCAACCCCGGACUUGCAGUGGGUACGGGCAGGCUAGAGUGUGGUAGGGGAGACUGGAAUUCCUGGUGUAGCGGUGAAAUGCGCAGAUAUCAGGAGGAACACCGAUGGCGAAGGCAGGUCUCUGGGCCGGUACUGACGCUGAGAAGCGAAAGCGUGGGGAGCGAACAGG
Molecule: ribosomal RNA, 253 nt
Filed under: uncultured bacterium
Lineage: Bacteria
Description: partial 16S ribosomal RNA
Rfam family: Bacterial small subunit ribosomal RNA
Source: RNAcentral